GCUCCGGCUCCCGCUAUCGGAUGAGCCUAUGUCGGAUUAGCUGGUUGGUGAGGUAAUGGCUCACCAAGGCGACGAUCCGUAGCUGGUCUGAGAGGAUGAUCAGCCACAUCGGGACUGAGACACGGCCCGAACUCCUACGGGAGGCAGCAGUGGGGAAUAUUGGACAAUGGGGGGAACCCUGAUCCAGCCAUGCCGCGUGUGUGAAGAAGGCCCUCGGGUUGUAAAGCACUUUCAGUGAGGAAGAACGCCUGGUGGUUAAUACCCAUCAGGAAAGACAUCACUCACAGAAGAAGCACCGGCUAACUCCGUGCCAGCAGCCGCGGUAAUACGGAGGGUGCGAGCGUUAAUCGGAAUUACUGGGCGUAAAGCGCGCGUAGGUGGCUUGAUAAGCCGGUUGUGAAAGCCCCGGGCUCAACCUGGGAACGGCAUCCGGAACUGUCAAGCUAGAGUGCAGGAGAGGAAGGUAGAAUUCCCGGUGUAGCGGUGAAAUGCGUAGAGAUCGGNGNAGGAAUACCAGUGGCGAAGGCGGCCUUCUGGACUGACACUGACACUGAGGUGCGAAAGCGUGGGUAGCAAACAGGAUUAGAUACCCUGGUAGUCCACGCCGUAAACGAUGUCGACCAGCCGUUGGGUGCCUAGCGCACUUUGUGGCGAAGUUAACGCGAUAAGUCGACCGCCUGGGGAGUACGGCCGNNCAAGGUUAAAACUCAAAUGAAUUGACGGGGGCCCGCACAAGCGGUGGAGCAUGUGGUUUAAUUCGAUGCAACGCGAAGAACCUUACCUACUCCUGACAUCCUGCGAAUUUGGUAGAGAUACCUUAGUGCCUUCGGGAACGCAGAGACAGGUGCUGCAUGGCUGUCGUCAGCUCGUGUUGUGAAAUGUUGGGUUAAGUCCCGUAACGAGCGCAACCCUUGUCCUUAUUUGCCAGCGCGUAAUGGCGGGAACUCUAAGGAGACUGCCGGUGACAAACCGGAGGAAGGUGGGGACGACGUCAAGUCAUCGUGGCCCUUACGAGUAGGGCUACACACGUGCUACAAUGGUCGGUACAAAGGGUUGCCAACUCGCGAGAGUGAGCCAAUCCCGAAAAC
This 1088-nucleotide ribosomal RNA is filed under the name uncultured Halomonas sp. Its description in RNAcentral is "bacterial SSU rRNA". It matches the Rfam family "Bacterial small subunit ribosomal RNA", at positions 208 to 1282 of the family's 1533-position model. Lineage: Bacteria; Pseudomonadati; Pseudomonadota; Gammaproteobacteria; Oceanospirillales; Halomonadaceae. The record is from RNAcentral.